This 481-nucleotide ribosomal RNA is filed under the name uncultured bacterium. Its description in RNAcentral is "partial 16S ribosomal RNA". It matches the Rfam family "Bacterial small subunit ribosomal RNA", at positions 28 to 523 of the family's 1533-position model. The record is from RNAcentral.
GACGAACGCUGGCGGCGUGCUUAACACAUGCAAGUCGAACGCUGAAGCCCUUCGGGGUGGAUGAGUGGCGAACGGGUGAGUAACACGUGGGUAAUCUGCCCUGCACUCUGGGAUAAGCCUUGGAAACGGGGUCUAAUACCGGAUAGGACACAUCGCCGCAUGGUGUGUGUGUGGAAAGUUCCGGCGGUGCAGGUUGAGCCCGCGGCCUAUCAGCUUGUUGGGUGGGUGAUGGCCUACCAAGGCGACGACGGGUAGCCGGCCUGAGAGGGUGACCGGCCACACUGGGACUGAGACACGGCCCAGACUCCUACGGGAGGCAGCAGUGGGGAAUCUUGCGCAAUGGGCGAAAGCCUGACGCAGCAACGCCGCGUGGGGGAUGACGGCCUUCGGGUUGUAAACCUCUUUCGACCGGGACGAAGGAUUCGUUUGACGGUACCGGUAGAAGAAGCACCGGCUAACUACGUGCCAGCCGCCGCGGUAA